RNAcentral lists this ribosomal RNA (468 nucleotides) under uncultured bacterium. RNAcentral's name for it is "partial 16S ribosomal RNA". It matches the Rfam family "Bacterial small subunit ribosomal RNA", at positions 28 to 507 of the family's 1533-position model. The record is from RNAcentral.
GACGAACGCUGGCGGCGUGCUUAACACAUGCAAGUCGAACGGAAAGGCCCUGCUUUUGUGGGGUGCUCGAGUGGCGAACGGGUGAGUAACACGUGAGUAACCUGCCCUUGACUUUGGGAUAACUUCAGGAAACUGGGGCUAAUACCGGAUAGGAGCUCCUGCUGCAUGGUGGGGGUUGGAAAGUUUCGGCGGUUGGGGAUGGACUCGCGGCUUAUCAGCUUGUUGGUGGGGUAGUGGCUUACCAAGGCUUUGACGGGUAGCCGGCCUGAGAGGGUGACCGGCCACAUGGGGACUGAGAUACGGACCAGACUCCUACGGGAGGCAGCAGUGGGGAAUAUGGCACAAUGGGCGGGAGCCUGAUGCAGCAACGCCGCGUGCGGGAUGACGGCCUUCGGGUUGUAAACCGCUUUCGCCUGUGACGAAGCGUGAGUGACGGUAAUGGGUAAAGAAGCACCGGCUAACUACGUG